GAUGAACGCUGGCGGCGUGCCUAAUACAUGCAAGUCGAGCGAACGGACGAGAAGCUUGCUUCUCUGAUGUUAGCGGCGGACGGGUGAGUAACACGUGGAUAACCUACCUAUAAGACUGGGAUAACUUCGGGAAACCGUAGCUAAUACCGGAUAAUAUUUUGAACCGCAUGGUUCAAAAGUGAAAGACGGUCUUGCUGUCACUUAUAGAUGGAUCCGCGCUGCAUUAGCUAGUUGGUAAGGUAACGGCUUACCAAGGCAACGAAGCAUAGCCGACCUGAGAGGGUGAUCGGCCACACUGGAACUGAGACACGGUCAAGACUCCUAAGGGAGGCAGCAGUAGGGAAUCUUCCGCAAUGGGCGAAAGCCUGACGGAGCAACGCCGCGUGAGUGAUGAAGGUCUUCGGAUCGAAAAACUCUGUUAUUAGGGAAGAACAUAUGUGUAAGUAACUGUGCACAUCUUGACGGUACCUAAUCAGAAAGCCACGGCUAACUACGUG
This 497-nucleotide ribosomal RNA is filed under the name uncultured bacterium. Its description in RNAcentral is "partial 16S ribosomal RNA". It matches the Rfam family "Bacterial small subunit ribosomal RNA", at positions 28 to 507 of the family's 1533-position model. The record is from RNAcentral.